Non-coding RNA from Maylandia zebra (zebra mbuna), 968 nucleotides. The record is from RefSeq and is a predicted model, not a curated record. NCBI's taxonomy places the organism in Eukaryota, Metazoa, Chordata, Actinopteri, Cichliformes, Cichlidae.
GAUUGAACUAUAAUCCCUUGUCUUCUGCACAGGAUGGUGAAGUCAAUUCUGUGGAUGUCCAGGUUAAGGAUAAUAGCAACAGCACAUACACCUGCACCCCACGUAAGCCUGUGAAGCACACUGUGAUGGUCUCCUGGGGAGACGCUAACAUCCCUGAGAGUCCAUUCAGGAUGAAUAUCAGAGCAGGCUGUCAUCCAAACAAGGUGAAGGUCUCUGACCCUGGAGUGGCAAAGACGGGCCUGAAAGCCUUCCAGCCAACAUACUUCACUGAAGGCGGGCUCUGCUGCAGAUAUUCCACUGGACAUAGGCGAGCUUGACCUCAGCCAGCUGACAGCCCCUCUUACAACACCCUCAGGCCCAGAGGAGCCCUGCCUGCUGAAGAUGCUGCGUAACGCUCACAUUGGAAUCUCGUUUGUUCCCAGGGAGAUUGGUGAGCACCUUGUUAACAUCAAGAAGAACGCCCGUCAUGUUCCCAGCAGCCCAAUUGCUGUUAUGAUCAAGCAGUCAGGGAUUGGUGACGUGUGCGUGUGCGUGGACCGUGGCUGACCAAAGCCAGGACUUUUCAGCCUUGAGAGUUCAUCAUUGAUGCAGGUAUAUGCUCAGUGAAAGCAUAAAUACUGUGAUAUUUUUCUUUUUAAACAUUCAAAUAGAAUAUAAUAUGAGAAUUUCGAUGUGAAAUUUAACCUUUAAGUGACUAGUACUUUGAGAACUGCCAUCAAUUACACAAUGAAGUUCAUUUACAUAUAGGUUAUUGUAUUAGUAAUGCUAUAUUGUACAUAGAGACAGAAUAUGACAUGAAGGGCUACUGACCACAGAAAAGUAAAAGGUAACUGGGCCUAAAGACUAACGGGAGAGAAACACGCUUUCUGUGAUUCUAUUUGUGUUUUUGUGCUAAUCUUGGAUAUCUUAGGUUGUCUCAUUACUGUCAUAUAUGUCCUGUCAUUAAAACACUGGCUUCUAACAACUAA